Molecule: long non-coding RNA, 1268 nt
Organism: Equus quagga
Lineage: Eukaryota; Metazoa; Chordata; Mammalia; Perissodactyla; Equidae
Exons: 3
Source: RefSeq, a predicted model, not a curated record
UUCUAUGUUUUCAGUUUUAUUAUUUCAAGACACAGUUAAAGGAAGGGACUCUUAGGGGCUUCUUUCUAGAAGGGAGCUCAGCAGUGAGUGCUGCUGGGAGGGGCUGGGGAAGGAGCAUCACCCUGGCUCCCAGCUCCCUGUUAUUUGGUCUCAGAGAAAAGACAAUAAGCUGGUAGGGACACCUUGGAGCUUUGCUUCGGAAGUGCGACUGAGAGUGAAGAGAGCUAAGGGAGACUUUCUGAGAAUUGCCAACAUGGCUCUCCAGAGUGUCUGAAACUGCCCUGCUCACCCCAAAAGCAGACUGAAUCAUAGGAUCUGAGAGAUCUGAUGGGGCUGUGGGGAUGGCUUUGUCCGAGCUCUCUCCAGGUAAUGUAGUGCAGGUGUAAAGAGCAAAUGAUCUGAAGAUGGAAAUCCCUGGAUUGAAAUGAUGCCUCCAUAUUUACCAUGAUAUACUCUUAGGUAUCUGGCACCCUUCUUCACACCCAGCACUUAAAGCUCAGUUCAUGUCAACCUAGACUUGAACCCAGAUUAGGGGGCAAACAACCUCAUCAGAGCGCUUUGUGUCUUCAUCAGCUAAGCUGGGCCCAGAUGCACUCAGGAACCUGGCAGAGCUCCUUCUCGUUGACUUGGCACCGCAGGAAAACAACGGUGUUGAACACUUCUUUCCCCCAAAGGCUGCAGACACUGCCUUUCACAAUGCGGAGCAGACACCACACAUCCAGACAAGUUCCUAAUUAAUGACGCAUAAUCAGUGUCUUUCAAAUGUGCAUUUGUUGUUCUCUGCCCAACUAAUUAACUGCACUGAACAUUCCAUGGUUGAAACUGGAGCAUGGGUUAUCUGAAAAGCCCGUUAGAACCAGCCCAGGGUCAGAGCUCAGAAGAUGCAAAAGUUCUGACCAGGUUACCACUGGGCUGAAGGAGUCUUAACAUCCCUACUUUCCCUCUCCAAAGCUCUCUGUAAGUAGGACCACAGACACUUUCUACCUCUUAAGGUUAUCAUAACCGGGGCACUCAUGAUCAUCUAAGGGAAAGUGCUCUGAAAGGUGUAGGGAGCUACAGAAAUGCACGUGAUGAUCACUCCUGGCAAUCGCUGUAAGGUGGGCAAUCUUUUCUAGGUGGGAAGGGUCAUCAACCUUAGGCAAAAAUGAUGUGUAUAUGUGCCUUCGAAGGUGUAGGCUUUGCACGUAAAAGCUCAUGUGAUCCUCAUGCCCACCCAUACCCAUGAGGAAAAUAAAACUCCUUUGAGGAGCUCCGAAGGGGCUCACCCA